AGUGAACGCUGGCGGUAGGCCUAACACAUGCAAGUCGAACGGCAGCACAGUAAGAGCUUGCUCUUACGGGUGGCGAGUGGCGGACGGGUGAGGAAUACAUCGGAAUCUACUUUUUCGUGGGGGCUAACGUAGGGAAACUUACGCUAAUACCGCAUACGACCUACGGGUGAAAGCAGGGGAUCUUCGGACCUUGCGCGAUUGACUGAGCCGAUGUCGGAUUGGCUAGGUGGAGGGGUAAAGGCCCACCCAGGCGACGAUCCGUAGCUGGUCUGAGAGGAUGAUCAGCCACACGAGAACGGGGACACGGUCCAGAGUCCUAAGGGAGGCAGCAGUGUGGAAUAUUAGGCAGUGGGCGCAAGCCUGAUCCAGCCAUACCGCGUGUGUGAAGAAGGCCUUGGGGUUGUGAAGCCCUUUUUUUGGGUAAGAAAAGCAGCAGGUUAAUACCCCGCUGUUCUGACGGUACCCAAAGAAGAAGCACCGGCUAACUUCGUG
RNAcentral lists this ribosomal RNA (492 nucleotides) under uncultured bacterium. RNAcentral describes it as "partial 16S ribosomal RNA". It matches the Rfam family "Bacterial small subunit ribosomal RNA", at positions 29 to 507 of the family's 1533-position model. The record is from RNAcentral.